RNAcentral lists this unclassified non-coding RNA (311 nucleotides) under plant metagenome. Its description in RNAcentral is "partial contains 5.8S ribosomal RNA, internal transcribed spacer 2, and large subunit ribosomal RNA". The stretch from base 1 to 104 matches the Rfam family "5.8S ribosomal RNA", at positions 50 to 154 of the family's 154-position model. The record is from RNAcentral.
GAAAUGCGAUAAGUAAUGUAAUUGCAGAAUUCCGUGAAUCAUCGAAUCUUUGAACGCACAUUGCGCCCUCUGGCAUUCCGGGGGGCAUGCCUGUCCGAGCGUCAUUACGCACCCUCAAGCCCGGCUUGUGUGAUGGGCCCCGGCGUCUCGUUCGCGAGACGGGCCCGAAAGGCAGCGGCGGCGUCGACCCGAUGAGCCCGAGCGUAUGGGGACUUCUGUCACACGUUCGCGGUGCGGACCGGCGCCUGCUUGACUUUUCUGAUUAUCCAGGUUGACCUCGGAUCAGGUAGGGAUACCCGCUGAACUUAAGC